AAUUAAACUAGAUUUUAACCUGCGGUACACCGCGAGAACAAUUUAUUUUUUAAAGCUAGUGUACAUAAAAGUUUGGAAAUUGUAUCUAUCUAUAAAAUAAAUAUUUUAUAGUUUACAAUUGUUAUUAAGGGCCUGACUGGUUUAAACGCAGCGGGUGCGGUUGCGGUUGCGGGAGUUUGCAGAAAUGGGCGAUUGCGGUUUCAAGCUUUAUCAAGCGUUUUGAACGACUGAUUGAGCGUUUGAUAAUGGGUGCGUUUGCGGAAGUUUUAUGACUGGUAAACCAGCGGGUGCGAUAGUAAUUAAAUAAAAAAUAACCAAAAUAAAUAUAAUAUAUUACUAUUAAAAUAAAUAAAAAUAUAAUAUAU
This 365-nucleotide small RNA is filed under the name Arabidopsis thaliana (thale cress). Its description in RNAcentral is "ATSL277870". The record is from RNAcentral. Lineage: Eukaryota; Viridiplantae; Streptophyta; Magnoliopsida; Brassicales; Brassicaceae.